Molecule: ribosomal RNA, 496 nt
Filed under: uncultured bacterium
Lineage: Bacteria
Description: partial 16S ribosomal RNA
Rfam family: Bacterial small subunit ribosomal RNA
Source: RNAcentral
AUUGAACGCUGGCGGAAUGCUUUACACAUGCAAGUCGAACGGUAGAGGGGGCAACCCCUCGAGAGUGGCGAACGGGUGAGUAAUAUAUCGGAACGUGCCCAGUCGCGGGGGAUAACGUAGCGAAAGUUACGCUAAUACCGCAUACGAUCUAAGGAUGAAAGCGGGGGAUCGCAAGAACUCGCGCGAAUGGAGCGGCCGAUAUCAGAUUAGGUAGUUGGUGGGGUAAAGGCUCACCAAGCCAACGACCUGUAGCUGGUCUGAGAGGACGACCACCCACACGGGAACUGAGAAACGGUCCAGACUCCUAGGGGAGGCAGCAGUGGGGAAUUUUGGACAAUGGAGGGAAGUCGAAUCCAGCCAUUCGGCGUGCGGGAUGAAGGCCCUCGGGUUGUAAACUGCUUUUGUACGGAACGAAAAGGUCUCUCUUAAUACGGGGGGCUCAUGACGGUACCGUAAGAAUAAGCACCGGCUAACUACGUGCCAGCAGCCGCCGUAA